Unclassified non-coding RNA from Macaca fascicularis (crab-eating macaque), 155 nucleotides. It matches the Rfam family "Metazoan signal recognition particle RNA". From Rfam's summary of the family: The signal recognition particle (SRP) is a universally conserved ribonucleoprotein. The record is from Ensembl. NCBI's taxonomy places the organism in Eukaryota, Metazoa, Chordata, Mammalia, Primates, Cercopithecidae.
GCUGGGUGUGGUGGCGCAUGCCUGUAGUCCCAGCUACUUGGGAGGCUGAGGCAGGAGAAUUGCUUGAAGCCAGGAGGCGAAGGGCGGAGGUUGUAGUGAGCUGAGAUCGCACCACUGCACUCUAGCCUGGAUGACAGAGCAAGACUCUGUCUCAA